This 519-nucleotide ribosomal RNA is filed under the name uncultured Bacteroidota bacterium. Its description in RNAcentral is "bacterial SSU rRNA". It matches the Rfam family "Bacterial small subunit ribosomal RNA", at positions 384 to 903 of the family's 1533-position model. Lineage: Bacteria; Pseudomonadati; Bacteroidota. The record is from RNAcentral.
UGAUCCAGCCAUGCCGCGUGCAGGAAGACGGCCCUAUGGGUUGUAAACUGCUUUUACACCGGAGAAAACCCCCCUACGUGUAGGGGGCUGAUAGUAUGGUGAGAAUAAGCAUCGGCUAACUUCGUGCCAGCAGCCGCGGUAAGACGAAGGAUGCAAGCGUUAUCCGGAUUCAUUGGGUUUAAAGGGAGCGUAGGCGGCCCGAUAAGUCAGUGGUGAAAUCUCCUGGCUUAACUAGGAAAUUGCCAUUGAUACUGUUGGGCUUGAGUACAGUUGCCGUUGGCGGAAUAUGACAUGUAGUGGUGAAAUACAUAGAGAUGUCAUAGAACACCGAUCGCGAAGGCAGCUAACGAAACUGUAACUGACGCUGAGGCUCGAAAGUGCGGGGAUCAAACAGGAUUAGAUACCCUGGUAGUCCGCACUGUAAACGAUGAUUACUCGCUGCUGGGAGGUAACUUUCAGUGGCUUAGCGAAAGCGAUAAGUAAUCCACCUGGGGAGUACGCCGGCAACGGUGAAACUCA